RNAcentral lists this ribosomal RNA (468 nucleotides) under uncultured bacterium. RNAcentral's name for it is "partial 16S ribosomal RNA". It matches the Rfam family "Bacterial small subunit ribosomal RNA", at positions 28 to 507 of the family's 1533-position model. The record is from RNAcentral.
GACGAACGCUGGCGGCGUGCUUAACACAUGCAAGUCGAACGGAAAGGCCCUGCUUUUGCGGGGUGCUCGAGUGGCGAACGGGUGAGUAACACGUGAGUAACCUGCCCUUGACUUUGGGAUAACUUCAGGAAACUGGGGCUAAUACCGGAUAGGAGCUCCUGCUGCAUGGUGGGGGUUGGAAAGUUUCGGCGGUUGGGGAUGGACUCGCGGCUUAUCAGCUUGUUGGUGGGGUAGUGGCUUACCAAGGCUUUGACGGGUAGCCGGCCUGAGAGGGUGACCGGCCACAUUGGGACUGAGAUACGGCCCAGACUCCUACGGGAGGCAGCAGUGGGGAAUAUUGCACAAUGGGCGGAAGCCUGAUGCAGCAACGCCGCGUGCGGGAUGACGGCCUUCGGGUUGUAAACCGCUUUCGCCUGUGACGAAGCGUGAGUGGCGGUAAUGGGUAAAGAAGCACCGGCUAACUACGUG